GGCCCCUUAGUUAAAUGGAUAUAACAGUCCCCUCCUAAGGGACGGUUGCAGGUUCGAUUCCUGCAGGGGCCGCCA
This 75-nucleotide transfer RNA is filed under the name Pseudoalteromonas caenipelagi. Its description in RNAcentral is "Pseudoalteromonas sp. JBTF-M23 tRNA-Arg". It matches the Rfam family "tRNA". From Rfam's summary of the family: Transfer RNA (tRNA) molecules are approximately 80 nucleotides in length. The record is from RNAcentral. Lineage: Bacteria; Pseudomonadati; Pseudomonadota; Gammaproteobacteria; Alteromonadales; Pseudoalteromonadaceae.